Molecule: ribosomal RNA, 425 nt
Filed under: uncultured bacterium
Lineage: Bacteria
Description: partial 16S ribosomal RNA
Rfam family: Bacterial small subunit ribosomal RNA
Source: RNAcentral
GUGGGGAAUAUUGGGCAAUGGGCGAAAGCCUGACCCAGCAACGCCGCGUGAAGGAAGAAGGUCUUCGGAUCGUAAACUUCUAUCCUUGGUGAAGAUAAUGACGGUAGCCGAGAAGGAAGCCCCGGCUAACUACGUGCCAGCAGCCGCGGUAAUACGUAGGGGGCAAGCGUUGUCCGGAAUGAUUGGGCGUAAAGGGCGCGUAGGUGGCCUGGUAAGUCUGGAGUGAAAGUCCUGCUUUUAAGGUGGGAAGUGCUUUGGAUACUGUCGGGGUUGAGUGCAGGAGAGGUAAGUGGAAUUCCCGGUGUAGCGGUGAAAUGCGUAGAGAUCGGGAGGAACACCAGUGGCGAAGGCGACUUACUGGACUGUAACUGACGCUGAGGCGCGAAAGUGUGGGGAGCAAACAGGAUUAGAUACCCGAGUAGUCC